This 406-nucleotide ribosomal RNA is filed under the name uncultured bacterium. RNAcentral describes it as "bacterial SSU rRNA". It matches the Rfam family "Bacterial small subunit ribosomal RNA", at positions 354 to 776 of the family's 1533-position model. The record is from RNAcentral.
GCAGGGAAUCUUGCGCAAUGGGCGAAAGCCUGACGCAGCAACGCCGCGUGGGGGAUGAAGGCCUUCGGGUUGUAAACCCCUUUCAGGAGGGAAGAAAUUGACGGUACCUCCAAAAGAAGCACCGGCCAACUACGUGCCAGCAGCCGCGGUAAUACGUAGGGUGCGAGCGUUAUCCGGAAUCAUUGGGCGUAAAGAGCUCGUAGGCGGUUCAGUAAGUCGGCUGUGAAAUUUCGAGGCUCAACCUCGAAACUGCAGUCGAAACUGCUGUGACUCGAGUCCGGUAGAGGAGAAUGGAAUUCCCGGUGUAGCGGUGAAAUGCGCAGAUAUCGGGAGGAACACCAGUAGCGAAGGCGGUUCUCUGGGCCGGCACUGACGCUGAGGAGCGAAAGCGUGGGUAGCAAACAGG